RNAcentral lists this long non-coding RNA (505 nucleotides) under Nicotiana benthamiana. RNAcentral describes it as "long non-coding RNA (NBEN_LNC037234)". The record is from RNAcentral. Lineage: Eukaryota; Viridiplantae; Streptophyta; Magnoliopsida; Solanales; Solanaceae.
UGUUUUAUAUCAUGCACUCACCACGCAUGCCAUGUAUUCACAUGAAUGAAAGACAUUGCUUUAUGGUAUAACUGCUCUACUUGCACAAAUUGUUAAGUCUUUGUUACAUUUUAAUUAAGCUAUUACUAUAUUUAAUAUAUUGUGUUUAACCUUAGUAUUAUUCUGUGUUUCUUCAUAUUUUACGGAGUUGAACGUCAUGAAUAUAUCUCACUUGUUUUGCCUAUUAUCACUACUAUUAUUGUUUAGUGUUUCUUCAUAUGUGCAUAUCAUUAUUAAGUUUAUUCAUAUCAUUAUAUCAAUAUACAAUUCUGAUAAUGCAUAAGUUCAUAAAACUGCAAUGUUAUGCCUGCAAUGGUACUUAAUGUGUGCACCUGCAUUGUUUCCUAUCUCCACAUAAUCUUGUUUGUCGUGUUGUUUUAUAUUCAUCUGAUCAUUAGAUCAGGGGAAGCAAAUAGUUCUGUAUUCAUUUCACAUGUUUUACAAAUUUGCUUAUAGUUUGUCUCAA